CAAACCCUCAAUCCUUAAAAGAGAUUUAACAUCCCCACAAGCUUAAUUUCUCAAACUCCUACAAAUUCUUUUGUUUGGGAUUUUUGGGUUAGGGUUUGUGUUCUAAGGGAGGAAAGGGUACCCAUCUCUUGAAAGUGGUUUAUUGAGACUCAUUGAGAUUCGCAGGCAGUUGAGUAGAAAUCUGUUAUUUGAUUCAAGUCUCCACAUAUAUCUUUUGGUAGGCCUCUUUGAUUGAGGACCAUUUUUGUAACGUCUGUUGAGUCUAUGUAAUUUGCAGCUAUUUUGGAGUCUAGCAAUUUUUUGGAAAUUGUAUUAAACGAUUAGAUUAUGUUCUUUGAAUUGUGACUGAAUUGAGAAUUUAACAGGGAUUUUAUAAAUUUGGGAAUGUUGAAGUUACAGA
This is a non-coding RNA of Cicer arietinum (chickpea), 400 nucleotides long. The record is from RefSeq and is a predicted model, not a curated record. Lineage: Eukaryota; Viridiplantae; Streptophyta; Magnoliopsida; Fabales; Fabaceae.